GCCGGGUGCAGUGGCGGCGCCCGGUAAUCAAGUUACCGGGAGGCGAGGCUGGAGGAUCGUGUAGAUCUCAGGAGCUCGAGCUGCAGCGGACGAUGUCGAUCGGGUUCCGCGACUAAGUGUCGGUAUCGAAAUAUGGUGCUCCUGGGGGAGCCACGGGACCACCAGUCGUCUAAUGGGAGGGGUGAACCGCCCGGUCGGACAAGGAGCAGUCACAAGCCCCGGCCGCUCAGUAGUGGGAUCGCGCCUGUGAAGAAGACGCUGUAGUGCAGCCUGAGUAACACAGCGGACCCCAGUCUUUU
Molecule: signal recognition particle RNA, 299 nt
Filed under: Larimichthys crocea (large yellow croaker)
Lineage: Eukaryota; Metazoa; Chordata; Actinopteri; Sciaenidae
Description: Metazoan signal recognition particle RNA (ENSLCRG00005011926.1)
Rfam family: Metazoan signal recognition particle RNA
About the family: The signal recognition particle (SRP) is a universally conserved ribonucleoprotein. It is involved in the co-translational targeting of proteins to membranes.
Source: RNAcentral